Molecule: non-coding RNA, 218 nt
Organism: Pelobates cultripes (western spadefoot toad)
Lineage: Eukaryota; Metazoa; Chordata; Amphibia; Anura; Pelobatidae
Source: the annotation of a GenBank genome assembly
AUUUGAUAGUGUGUACUUGCAAGUGCUUAUUCCUGAAACACAAACUGCUAAAUUCUGGCUAAAAUAUUCAUACGUUGACCAUAACUUUGCUGAAUUUCUAAAUCCAAAAACAUAUUGGUCUGGAGUUUGUAUUUUAUUUUUCAAAGUACAGUUUAAAGGACAACUUAAAACAGACCACAUCAUCUCAAUAAAGCAGUCUGGGAGCAGUGGUCCUGUAG